This 488-nucleotide ribosomal RNA is filed under the name uncultured bacterium. RNAcentral's name for it is "partial 16S ribosomal RNA". It matches the Rfam family "Bacterial small subunit ribosomal RNA", at positions 28 to 507 of the family's 1533-position model. The record is from RNAcentral.
GACGAACGCUGGCGGCGUGCUUAACACAUGCAAGUCGAACGGAAAGGCCCCCAUCUUGGUGGGGGUGCUCGAGUGGCGAACGGGUGAGUAACACGUGUGUGAUCUGCCCUGUACUUCGGGAUAAGCUUGGGAAACUGGGUCUAAUACCGGAUAGGACCAUGGUUUAGUGUCUCAUGGUGGAAAGAUUAUUGUUUUGGUGCAGGAUGAGCUCGCGGCCUAUCAGCUUGUUGGUGGGGUAAUGGCCUACCAAGGCGUCGACGGGUAGCCGGCCUGAGAGGGUGGACGGCCACAUGGGGACGGAGAAGCGGCCCAGACUCCUACGGGAGGCAGCGGUGGGGAAUAUUGCACAAUGGGCGAAAGCCUGAUGCAGCGACGCCGCGUGGGGGAUGACGGCCUUCGGGUUGUAAACUCCUUUCGUUGGGGACGAAGCCGCACUUUUUUGGGUGUGGUGACGGUACCUUUGUUAAGAAGCACCGGCUAACUACGUG